RNAcentral lists this ribosomal RNA (458 nucleotides) under uncultured bacterium. RNAcentral's name for it is "partial 16S ribosomal RNA". It matches the Rfam family "Bacterial small subunit ribosomal RNA", at positions 338 to 795 of the family's 1533-position model. The record is from RNAcentral.
CCUACGGGUGGCAGCAGUGAGGAAUAUUGGUCAAUGGGCGAGAGCCUGAACCAGCCAAGUCGCGUGAGGGAGUACUGCCCUAUGGGUUGUAAACCUCUUUUGUCGGGGAGCAAAAGCCGGACGUGUCCGGCUGUGAGAGUACCCGAAGAAAAAGCAUCGGCUAACUCCGUGCCAGCAGCCGAGGUAAUACGGAGGAUGCGAGCGUUAUCCGGAUUUAUUGGGUUUAAAGGGUGCGCAGGCGGAUUUUUAAGUCAGCGGUAAAAUCGUGGGGCUCAACCCCAUCCAGCCGUUGAAACUGGGGAUCUAGAGUGUGCGAGAGGUAUGCGGAAUGCGUGGUGUAGCGGUGAAAUGCAUAGAUAUCACGCAGAACCCCGAUUGCGAAGGCAGCAUACCGGUGCACAACUGACGCUCAGGCACGAAAGCGUGGGUAUCGAACAGGAUUAGAUACCCCAGUAGUC